UCCUGGUGGCUCAGAUGGUAAAGAAUCUGCCUGCAGUGCAGGAGACCCAGGUUCUAUCCCUGGGUCGGGAA
This 71-nucleotide transfer RNA is filed under the name Bos taurus (domestic cattle). It matches the Rfam family "tRNA". From Rfam's summary of the family: Transfer RNA (tRNA) molecules are approximately 80 nucleotides in length. Their secondary structure includes four short double-helical elements and three loops (D, anti-codon, and T loops). Lineage: Eukaryota; Metazoa; Chordata; Mammalia; Artiodactyla; Bovidae. The record is from Rfam by way of RNAcentral. RNAcentral also lists the same sequence under 5 other names.